This 497-nucleotide ribosomal RNA is filed under the name uncultured bacterium. Its description in RNAcentral is "partial 16S ribosomal RNA". It matches the Rfam family "Bacterial small subunit ribosomal RNA", at positions 28 to 507 of the family's 1533-position model. The record is from RNAcentral.
GAUGAACGCUGGCGGCGUGCCUAAUACAUGCAAGUCGAGCGAACAGACGAGGAGCUUGCUCCUCUGACGUUAGCGGCGGACGGGUGAGUAACACGUGGAUAACCUACCUAUAAGACUGGGAUAACUUCGGGAAACCGGAGCUAAUCCCGGAUAAUAUAUUGAACCGCAUGGUUCAAUAGUGAAAGACGGUUUUGCUUUCACUUAUAGAUGGAUCCGCGCCGCAUUAGCUAGUUGGUAAGGUAACGGCUUACCAAGGCAACGAUGCGUAGCCGACCUGAGAGGGUGAUCGGCCACACUGGAACUGAGACACGGUCCAGACUCCUACGGGAGGCAGCAGUAGGGAAUCUUCCGCAAUGGGCGAAAGCCUGACGGAGCAACGCCGCGUGAGUGAUGAAGGUCUUCGGAUCGUAAAACUCUGUUAUUAGGGAAGAACAAAUGUGUAAGUAACUAUGCACGUCUUGACGGUACCUAAUCAGAAAGCCACGGCUAACUACGUG